Molecule: ribosomal RNA, 253 nt
Filed under: uncultured bacterium
Lineage: Bacteria
Description: partial 16S ribosomal RNA
Rfam family: Bacterial small subunit ribosomal RNA
Source: RNAcentral
UACAGAGGGUGCGAGCGUUAAUCGGAAUUACUGGGCGUAAAGCGUGCGUAGACGGUUAUUUAAGUCGGGUGUGAAAGCCCCGGGCUCAACCUGGGAAUUGCAUUCGAGACUGAAUAGCUAGGGUACGGUAGAGCGAAGCGGAAUUUCCGGUGUAGCGGUGAAAUGCGUAGAUAUCGGAAGGAACAUCAGUGGCGAAAGCGGCUUCCUGGACCAGUACCGACGUUCAGGCACGAAAGCGUGGGGAUCAAACAGG